Molecule: long non-coding RNA, 1629 nt
Filed under: Helianthus annuus (common sunflower)
Lineage: Eukaryota; Viridiplantae; Streptophyta; Magnoliopsida; Asterales; Asteraceae
Description: hypothetical non coding rna
Source: RNAcentral
GUGUGUGAGAUCGACCAGACAAGUGCAGGAGGGCGACCAAGUUCAUCAAAACCCUAGUUCAGCAUAAAAUCUCUAAAUUGAAGGAUCAAACUCAGUCCAAAUCAAAAUCCGAACAUAGAUUAGUGAUCCUCAUCACAAGGGGGUUACAAGGUGAUUCAUGGGCAAAGAAUCCGGAUCGUCAAGCGGACAAGCCGGAGCGGAUACGCGUUUGAAGGGUGUGCUCUAAAGGUACGCAACUUGUCACCUCGUUACAAUUAUGUAGAUAAGCCUAGUCGUAAAUAUGUCUAAUGUUGUAUAGCGAAAAUAGUUGCGUUUGGUGAGUCUAAGAAGUGAUGUAAUUCACUCGACAAACCAAACGGGUCAAAAGAAUUAGUUGAAAUAGGUAUGAUGUCGAAAUAGUGAAAUUGAAACCCUUUUGUAAGUCUAAGAAGUGAUGGAAUUUACUAGAUGAAGAAUGUGUUAAAACAAUGGUCGAAACGGUAGUGUUUGGAGUUACUAAAACGUCACUCGUUAAAUUGGGUUAUAAAAACAGAAAUCGUGGAUUAGAAGGGAUACGCUAAGGUCGACGAGCCCGGGAAUGGGUAGUUAUGGUUAGAAGGCAAUGUCGACGAAUUAUGAAGGUAUGUAACUUGACCCGUUACAUUAAACAAAUUGUUGUUAAAUCAUGCGUAGUCACGUUUUAGAAUAGGAAUUGUGUUGAUCGUAGUGAUCACAAUUGUUACUUGAAUUGAUAGAGUCAAAUUGGUAAGGAACCGAUUGGUAGUCAUCACAUUGGAAGAAUUUCCACAAGAUGAGCCAACGGGUCGAAUAUGGUAUAAAUUCUAGUAUUGGUGUCUAAUUAGUUAGUAAAGGCGAUAUCGAUCACAAGAGCAUUAAACCAUGGAAUUGGUAAGGAAAUGCGAGUGAUGCUAAGCCUCGGAUGUUGGGUGAAAACGCCUUAAGGUUGCUAUUGCAUAGUAGUAAAGUUGUGUAAAUAUAGUGGGUCAAAUAUCUAAAUAGAAAUUUUAGUGACUAAGUCCGUAAACCAAAUUUUCGGGAUAAUAAUUAUGGUAGACACAUUGGUAAUUUAAUUACGGUCGUGUAGGAAAAAGAAUCACCAAAAACGGACCUACGGAUCAUAAGUUAUGGCAAUUUUAAGUUGGGAUGUGAAUAAACUUGGAGCUGGGAAUCUGCAGCAUCAGCAAAGCAAACAAUCUGCCAAAAAGGGGGCUAGGUGGGGCGUCUAGCCCCUAGGCGUCACGCGACGCCCCCCCUGAAUCCCAAAAAUGUUUAAUUUUGAUUGUUUGACCCUUAGAACUUGUUUAUACCCAUUUUAGCUUCAUCAAAACUAACAUUUGUUGUGGUUUUGAUCUUAGGUGAUGUUGGAAACUAACCGGAAGAUGAUCGAGCUGGCUUUUGAAGAACCGAACACUAUUUACAAGCUUCCGCAAUGUCCUAAACUUUAAAGGAUUAUGAUUUUGAGUUAUAAACAAAUUGUUAAAUAACUUUAGGGAUGUUUUAACUUAGUCGUUAGUCGAUUAAGGUUUUUGUUACUAAUGAAUUAUAUUUAUGAAAAUCUGUGCUACCUAGGUAUCUUUUAUUUUAAAAUGGUAUGAUUCAUUAUUAAAUUCAAGUAAAUUAGAUGGGUGU